Molecule: ribosomal RNA, 594 nt
Filed under: Lactifluus putidus
Lineage: Eukaryota; Fungi; Basidiomycota; Agaricomycetes; Russulales; Russulaceae
Also listed under: 1 other name
Description: partial large subunit ribosomal RNA
Source: RNAcentral
UGGCAUGGACUUCMGGUGCUUCUGUGAUGCGCUCUCAAAGAGUCGAGUUGUUUGGGAAUGCAGCUCAAAAUGGGUGGUGAACUCCAUCUAAAGCUAAAUAUUGGCGAGAGACCGAUAGCGAACAAGUACCGUGAGGGAAAGAUGAAAAGCACUUUGGAAAGAGAGUGAAACAGUACGUGAAAUUGUUGAAAGGGAAACGCUUGAAGUCAGUCGCGUCGACCGAGACUCAGCCUCGCCUUGGCUUGGUGUACUUCUCGGCUGACGGGCCAGCAUUGAUUUCGUCCCUCGGAUAAUGGCGAGAGAAAGGUGGCACCCCUCGUGGGUGUGUUAUAGUCUCCUGUCGCAUACGAGGGAUGGGAUCGAGGACCUCAGCAUGCACCUCUCGGUGCCGGGGCUUUGGCCCACGAUACGUGCUUAGGAUGUUGGCGUAAUGGCUUUAAACGACCCGUCUUGAAACACGGACCAAGGAGUCUAACAUGCCCGCGAGUGUUCGGGUGGAAAACCCGUGCGCGAAAUGAAAGUGAAAAGUUGGGACCUCUGUCGUGGAGGGCACCGACGCCCGGACCAGACCUUCUGUGACGGAUCUGCGGUAGA